GCGGGUUUUCGGGCGAUGGCGAGCGGGGAAAAUGUGGCGGUGGGGAGGCGGGCGGGGAAGACGGGGGCAUCGCUGGCUCAGGACCUCAGGCGCUGGGCGGCUGAAGAGAUGAAGCUUCCUCCGGGCAAAGUUCCCUCCGAGAGAGACGCGCGCAGAAUGUGCUCAGGUCAGUGUGCUGACAUCUGGAAAUAUAUCAUCCGCCACGUUCAUCAUCAGAGGACAGUCAAGAAGAUUCGUGGGAACUUACUGUGGUAUCAGCAGAUGGAAAAGGGUGAGGUCAAGCCCAGUGCCUCUGAAUCGGAUAAAGAACGUCGCAAACAUCUAAUCCAGGCCAUCUCUCGCUUGAAGGAAGAAGAUCAGCAAUUGGACCUUCAGAUAGAAUUGGCACAGCGUGAGUUUGUAGCCAGCGAGGUCACCCUGGAAACGACUCAGAUCUGGGAUGCCAAACGACGCAGUUUGCUCCUGAAGGCCUACUCCAGACGGGUCACAGCAGAAUGCCAACAGUUGCACAAGAAAGGUGCCCAAGUCAAGGGACGUUUGGAGCAGUUGGAAGAGAUGGAGAAGAAAGCCAAGACGGUCGUGGUUUUUGGUGGCAGACACCCAGAGCCUCGAUUCCCCAUCUUGGAGCCCGAAGUCUUGCGGGAUGUCCAGGAAAGCUGCCAGCUGCGUUUCCAAUUCCUGAAGACCCUCUUUGAAAACAGCAUCUCUGGGAGCUCUCCAGGGACAAAUGAGGAAGAGAUGAAUGUUACUUACCAACAUUGGCUGAGCACCGUGGAGAAAGCUGUCAGUACCCAUCCUCCUGUCCAUAUCCUUUCGGCUCUGGAGCACUUGGCCCGUCAGAACACAAUGAAGCUGCAGGAGGUGACGGAUAAGAUCAACAUCUCCCAAGAUGUGGCUGCUCUCAAGUUCCGCUAUGACAGCACACACCUGCAAGAUGUCUCGGAUUCUGCAGACAAGCUACCUUCUGUCCGGGUUCUUAUACAGGAGGGCUGGAGCAAAUGCGAGGUGCUCUGUGUACAGCAGAUUCCCCUACAUGCUGAAGAGAAAGGCCUGCUGUCACGUCUUGAAGCCCUAGUAAAAGAGAUGCACAGUCUCUUGUCUGAUGGAUCGGAGCGCUCCAUCCUGGCCAGAACGGUCUUUGAGCUGGAGCUCCGGGCGGUGAGGUUGCGAGGAUACAGGGAUGGGCUGCUGCAGGGUUGCCAGGGACUUGAAGAAGCCGUGAAGGCCCGGUAUGCAGAACUGCAGAACUUGCAGGCGAAACGCCAGCGCAUCUUGGACUUCCGCCUUUUGGUGAAUGAGAAGCAGCAACACAUUCGGGCCCUUAUCAAAGGCACUUCGUUUCUCAAAUCCCAACUUCGCAAGAACCAGGCUGAGAUCCAGGAUUUCAUACAGAAAAAACUGCUCCCUCUGGCGGAACAGGUGCAGCUGGAGACCCAACAGCUUCACGACAGGGUAGGCCGUGAAGUCCAGCAUUUCAAAAGCAUUGCCCUGCCUUGUCUGCUGACCCGUCAGAUAGCUGGGUCUGAACACAUCCCAGCCCACAAACUUUCCAUCCAUCGCUUAAGCCGGACAGCACCUUCUGAAAAUCGGGCCUUUCUCAAUGUAUGCAACGGAGUUAGCUUUCCCCUUUAUAAGGCUCCUGAACAGCUGCUUCUCCAUGUGGUGGAGCUGAAGAAGAGGCUUGCUUACCUGCGUGCCCAGCUGAGCUCCAAGCAAAGAGCUUUGGGAAGCCUGCAGCACCAGCUGGAAAGGGCCCCAGAGCCCGAUGUACCAUCCUUGGUGGGAGAGGUACAGUCCCAUGAUCAGAAACAAGCCUUUUUGCUGCUGCCCUGUAUCCAACGCACGAUGGAUCAGUGCCAGUGUCUCCUCAAGCGUCGACCUGAGAUCCAAGCUGUUAUCGAUACCUGGUGGGAGCAGCCGGGACAGCUUGUUCUUCCUCACGAGCUCCGCUACGGCUUCACUUUGCAACAGUGGCUGGAGCGUUGGACCAUGGCUGCCAAGAACCUGCAGCAACAGCAGAUAUGGCUUUGAUGAACUCCUGGGUAUAAGUCUGAGAAGCUGGUUGGUGUUCGUGGCUCGCAAGAUACAGCGCCUGGGAGACAGGGCAGUUAUGCCUGUGCUUCCAUCUGGCUGCUGAAUGAUGGCUUUUAAUUUCAUGCAAGGGGGUACGCAGUUUUCUGCACCUCACCUCACCUCACCUUCUUCCCUCUCCUCUCCGUUCUUCAAGGGAGGCUGGGGGAGGACGUAAUGUUGAAGCUAAGAGAAAAGUUACACCUAGCUUUUUCCUUGGUGAAGAUGUUGUGGUCCGCCAGCAGCCUGCGGAGCUGGCAGCAGAGUUGGACAGUGAGAAGGUUGGGGAGGAACAUGGA
Molecule: RNA transcript, 2369 nt
Organism: Ahaetulla prasina
Lineage: Eukaryota; Metazoa; Chordata; Lepidosauria; Squamata; Colubridae
Gene: HAUS5
Gene name: HAUS augmin like complex subunit 5
Exons: 20
Source: RefSeq, a predicted model, not a curated record